UACGUAGGGGGCAAGCGUUGUCCGGAAUCAUUGGGCGUAAAGAGCGUGUAGGCGGCCAGAAAAGUCCGCUGUGAAAACUCGAGGCUCAACUUCGAGCUGUCGGUGGAAACUUUCUGGCUAGAGUCCGGAAGAGGAGAAUGGAAUUCCUGGUGUAGCGGUGAAAUGCGCAGAUAUCAGGAAGAACACCGGUGGCGAAGGCGGCUCUCUGGGCCUUACCUGACGCUGAGGAGCGAAAGCGUGGGUAGCGAACAGG
Molecule: ribosomal RNA, 253 nt
Filed under: uncultured bacterium
Lineage: Bacteria
Description: partial 16S ribosomal RNA
Rfam family: Bacterial small subunit ribosomal RNA
Source: RNAcentral